RNAcentral lists this ribosomal RNA (253 nucleotides) under uncultured bacterium. Its description in RNAcentral is "partial 16S ribosomal RNA". It matches the Rfam family "Bacterial small subunit ribosomal RNA", at positions 524 to 776 of the family's 1533-position model. The record is from RNAcentral.
UACGUAGGCAGCGAGCGUUGUUCGGAGUUACUGGGCGUAAAGAGUGCGUAGGCGGUUUUCUAAGUUUGGUGUGAAAUCUCCCGGCUCAACUGGGAGGGUGCGCCGAAGACUGGAAGGCUUGAGUAUGGGAGAGGUAAGCGGAAUUCCUGGUGUAGCGGUGAAAUGCGUAGAUAUCAGGAGGAACACCUGUGGCGAAGGCGGCCCCCUGGUUGGAUACUGACGCUGAGACGCGAAAGCGUGGGGAGCAAACAGG